GACGAACGCUGGCGGCGUGCUUAACACAUGCAAGUCGAACGGAAAGGCCCUGCUUUUGUGGGGUGCUCGAGUGGCGAACGGGUGAGUAACACGUGAGUAACCUGCCCUUGACUUUGGGAUAACUUCAGGAAACUGGGGCUAAUACCGGAUAGGAGCUCCUGCUGCAUGGUGGGGGUUGGAAAGUUUCGGCGGUUGGGGAUGGACUCGCGGCUUAUCAGCUUGUUGGUGGGGUAGUGGCUUACCAAGGCUUUGACGGGUAGCCGGCCUGAGAGGGUGACCGGCCACAUUGGGACUGAGAUACGGCCCAGACUCCUACGGGAGGCAGCAGUGGGGAAUAUUGCACAAUGGGCGGAAGCCUGAUGCAGCAACACCGCGUGCGGGAUGACGGCCUUCGGGUUGUAAACCGCUUUCGCCUGUGACGAAGCGUGAGUGACGGUAAUGGGUAAAGAAGCACCGGCUAACUACGUGCCAGCAGCCGCGGUGAUACGUAGGGUGCGAGCGUUGUCCGGAUUUAUUGGGCGUAAAGGGCUCGUAGGUGGUUGAUCGCGUCGGAAGUGUAAUCUUGGGGCUUAACCCUGAGCGUGCUUUCGAUACGGGUUGACUUGAGGAAGGUAGGGGAGAAUGGAACUCCUGGUGGAGCGGUGGAAUGCGCAGAUAUCAGGAGGAACACCAGUGGCGAAGGCGGUUCUCUGGGCCUUUCCUGACGCUGAGGAGCGAAAGCGUGGGGAGCGAACAGGCUUAGAUACCCUGGUAGUCCACGCUGUAAACGGUGGGUACUAGGUGUGGGGUCCAUUCCACGGGUUCCGUGCCGUAGCUAACGCUUUAAGUACCCCGCCUGGGGAGUACGGCCGCAAGGCUAAAACUCAAAGGAAUUGACGGGGCCCCGCACAAGCGGCGGAGCAUGCGGAUUAAUUCGAUGCAACGCGUAGAACCUUACCUGGGUUUGACAUGGAUCGGGAGUGCUCAGAGAUGGGUGUGCCUCUUUUGGGGUCGGUUCACAGGUGGUGCAUGGCUGUCGUCAGCUCGUGUCGUGAGAUGUUGGGUUAAGUCCCGCAACGAGCGCAACCCUUGUUCACUGUUGCCAGCACGUUAUGGUGGGGACUCAGUGGAGACCGCCGGGGUCAACUCGGAGGAAGGUGGGGAUGACGUCAAGUCAUCAUGCCCCUUAUGUCCAGGGCUUCACGCAUGCUACAAUGGCUGGUACAGAGAGUGGCGAGCCUGUGAGGGUGAGCGAAUCUCGGAAAGCCGGUCUCAGUUCGGAUUGGGGUCUGCAACUCGACCUCAUGAAGUCGGAGUCGCUAGUAAUCGCAGAUCAGCAACGCUGCGGUGAAUACGUUCCCGGGGCU
This 1346-nucleotide ribosomal RNA is filed under the name uncultured bacterium. RNAcentral describes it as "partial 16S ribosomal RNA". It matches the Rfam family "Bacterial small subunit ribosomal RNA", at positions 28 to 1381 of the family's 1533-position model. The record is from RNAcentral.